AAAAAAAAAAAAAUUGUGAGCUUCUCUUCGUUCUUCCGGUUAUGUAUGUUAUUGAAAAGAAAAGACGAAUGCCUGGAGAAAACAAAACACUACGAAUACGGAUAGUGAAAGAUGAGUUCUCAGCCAUUUCCUACAGCUGGAAUGCCUGCUCAGAGUAAUCCUGGUGGAAAGCCGGUCUCCAUCAAUCAGUCAUCCAAACAGCCAGCAGGACCAGGUGAGGACAGUAGUGGUGAUGUGAACCACCAUGGUCCCAAGGACCAUCCAGCCAGCAGCAGGGGAGGAGAAGAAGCCCUGUCGUUCAGAGAAGACAAGCAGGCGCCCGGAGUGGUCAGACCCUACCC
Oncorhynchus gorbuscha (pink salmon) is the source of this 341-nucleotide long non-coding RNA. RefSeq lists it as uncharacterized. The record is from RefSeq and is a predicted model, not a curated record. Lineage: Eukaryota; Metazoa; Chordata; Actinopteri; Salmoniformes; Salmonidae. The transcript has 3 exons.